UUGAACGCUGGCGGCAUGCUUUACACAUGCAAGUCGAACGGUAACAGGGUGCUUGCACCGCUGACGAGUGGCGAACGGGUGAGUAAUACAUCGGAAUGUACCCAGUCAUGGGGGAUAACGCUUCGAAAGGAGUGCUAAUACCGCAUACGCCCUGAGGGGGAAAGUGGGGUACCGCAAUGCCUCACGUGAUUGGAGCAGCCGAUGGCUGAUUAGCUAUUUGGUAGGGUAAGGGCCUACCAAGGCAACGAUCAGUAGCGGGUCUUAGAGGACGAGACGCCACACGGGAACUGAGACAAGGUCCAGACUCCUACGGGAGGAAGCAGUGGGGAAUCUUGGACAAUGGGCGAAAGCCUGAUCCAGCAAUGCCGCGUGCGUGAAGAAGGCCUUCGGGUUGUAAAGCGCUUUUGUCGGGGAGGAAAUCCUAACUUCUAAUAAAGGUUGGGGAUGACAGUACCCGAAGAAUAAGGACCGGCUAACUACGU
Molecule: ribosomal RNA, 482 nt
Filed under: uncultured bacterium
Lineage: Bacteria
Description: bacterial SSU rRNA
Rfam family: Bacterial small subunit ribosomal RNA
Source: RNAcentral